AGUACAGUGGCAGUACGCCGCAUUCGCAUUGCGGAGACGCGAGUUCGAUUCUCGCUAAGUCCA
RNAcentral lists this transfer RNA (63 nucleotides) under Candidatus Nealsonbacteria bacterium CG23_combo_of_CG06-09_8_20_14_all_39_17. Its description in RNAcentral is "tRNA-Ala". It matches the Rfam family "tRNA", at positions 9 to 71 of the family's 71-position model. From Rfam's summary of the family: Transfer RNA (tRNA) molecules are approximately 80 nucleotides in length. Lineage: Bacteria; Candidatus Nealsoniibacteriota. The record is from RNAcentral.